This is a long non-coding RNA of Drosophila simulans, 1820 nucleotides long. RefSeq lists it as uncharacterized. The record is from RefSeq and is a predicted model, not a curated record. Lineage: Eukaryota; Metazoa; Arthropoda; Insecta; Diptera; Drosophilidae. The transcript has 2 exons.
GCAAGGCGAACAAAGAAACUGGUUGGAAUACUUGCAGGCAUGUUCCAAAACAUUGGGAAUACAAGAGGAAUAUCGGCUAGAGAAGGCCGCGACGAAAAUGGCACGGACCCUUUUUAUACCCCCCUAAAUGGUGCCUGGAGUACCUUUAAUAUACAUACUUCCUUGGAUGACAGUGACGAAGCGCACUAGAAAAGUAUGCGAAGGCGACUAUUAUAUACAUAUGUAUGUAUAUUCUAAAAAAAAAAAAAAAAAUGGUAAAAAGAGCUCGGAAUGGGCCCAUUUUAGUUAUUCUAUUUGAAGUUGUGCAUAAAAUCAUAAAAUUUCCAGCUAGUAGAUGUGCGAACGCGAACUUUCAUAGUUUUUUUGACAUAUCGAUAGAAAUUAGGGAAUAUGUAAAAUGAAAAGCUAUUACAAAUUUUUAAAACUUUGAAGGCGUUAGAAGAGGCGGGCUCAAAGUGUUUUUGGUAUAGCGAUAGAAAUUGGCAAAACAAACAAUAAAACAAAGAAUAGUCAAAACAUUUUACAAAAAUGUGGGUAAGGCAGUUUUUGCGUGUUAUAGUGGCCAUGACCAAAAAUUGUUUGGCGUCUCAUGAAUCUGCAUGUCUAGUCUCAACUCUCUAACUUAACAUCUUCUUAACAUCGAGGCGUUCAUACGGACAUACGAUAAUGGCAAUGGAUUAUAAAAAAAUAGUAACAAAAUAACUGCCACGCCCACAGUUCUGAAAAAGCGUUGGAAUUUUCUUUAUUUUUUAUUUUACGUGGUACCCACGUGGUACCCUGGGUACCGAUUUCAAAAUUUUAUUCGGAAGCUAAUUCGAGCGGUAAAAAGUUUUUUAAUAGGUGCUGAUUAACCGGGUAUGUAAUAGUCUAGGAACACGAAUAUGGCGUUCUCUCUAGAUAUAAUUUGAUGUCGGAAUAUAUUUACAUAAAUUAAUAAUAAUAAUAAAAUUAAUUGCCUACUAACUUUUCUUAUGCACAAAAUAUUACAAAUGUGUUUCAAUUUAGUAAGUAAAUGAAUUUGUCACAUUUUUCAAUCCUCAAGUCAUUUUUGGAAUGCAUUUAUUAUUUGUGUGGCUACAUUAGUUUUGGGACAUAAUAAUUUAAUGUUUAUUUUAAAACACAUAGGACGGUACUAGUCAUUAAAUAUGUAUAUUUUAAUUUUACAAAUAUGUCCGUUUUCGUUGUUUAUUGUGCUUUACAAAUGAAAUACAGGAAACCGGGUCCCAGAAUAAAUAUAACCAUGAAAUCAAAUGUCGAUUAAGUUAGUUGACAUCGCCUAGCCAGGAACUUUUCUGUUGAUCCGGAAAUAUCUACCUGAGCGUGGCAUUGGCAGGAUUAAUUUGUAAAUUGGGCAAGGGUAUAUGACCAAGAUCGUCAUCGUUCACCAAUUGGGAAUCUUUCCGUGUACGCCAAACUGGUAAUCUAGGUCCCGCGUCCCGACAUUGCCAAUCGCCGGUCCUAGCGCAACGCUUAGCUGCGCUUCCAAUUACGAAACAUUUUUACGCGAUAUCUGUAGCUUUCCGUUAUCCUGGAACACAUUCCGCAUAGACGCUAUCUGCGAUCAGGGGUGAUCAAACGUUAGUAUUUACACAACAUUUGCUUUUGUUUUCCCUUUUGAAGUUCGAAAUCGUUGUGAUACGUCGAUAGUUUUCGACGUAGGGGGUACUCCAGCCUUGAUCACCGCAACCAGAGACGUAGCAUGCAAUUGCCGCAGACGAGUGACGAACAUUAACAUUCCCUAAGUGUUGGUUAAAUGGAAGUUAAAAUACUGGAAUUGUAUUGAAUCACUUGGUGAAAGAAAUAUAAAAUGCUUGUCAUCA